This 73-nucleotide transfer RNA is filed under the name Sphaerodactylus townsendi. RNAcentral's name for it is "tRNA-Thr". It matches the Rfam family "tRNA". From Rfam's summary of the family: Transfer RNA (tRNA) molecules are approximately 80 nucleotides in length. Lineage: Eukaryota; Metazoa; Chordata; Lepidosauria; Squamata; Sphaerodactylidae. The record is from RNAcentral.
GGAGGGCUUAGCUCAGUGGUAGAGCAUCUGCUUGGUCUUUAGAAAGUCCCAGGUUCAAAUCCUGGCAUCUCCA